UACGUAGGGUGCGAGCGUUGUCCGGAAUUACUGGGCGUAAAGAGCUCGUAGGUGGUUUGUCGCGUUGUCCGUGAAAUUUCCUGGCUUAACUGGGGGCGUGCGGGCGAUACGGGCAGACUGGAGUACUGCAGGGGAGACUGGAAUUCCUGGUGUAGCGGUGGAAUGCGCAGAUAUCAGGAGGAACACCGGUGGCGAAGGCGGGUCUCUGGGCCGAUACUGACGCUGAGGAGCGAAAGCGUGGGGAGCGAACAGG
RNAcentral lists this ribosomal RNA (253 nucleotides) under uncultured bacterium. Its description in RNAcentral is "partial 16S ribosomal RNA". It matches the Rfam family "Bacterial small subunit ribosomal RNA", at positions 524 to 776 of the family's 1533-position model. The record is from RNAcentral.